Brassica rapa (field mustard) is the source of this 2586-nucleotide long non-coding RNA. RefSeq lists it as uncharacterized. NCBI's taxonomy places the organism in Eukaryota, Viridiplantae, Streptophyta, Magnoliopsida, Brassicales, Brassicaceae. The record is from RefSeq and is a predicted model, not a curated record.
ACCUGAUCGUUUAUGAAAGUACAUAAUGUAACGAGUUGGAACAUAGUUGACCUGAUGGCUUAUGCAUGGAAAUACAUAAAUUAGCUAGUAAAAACAAACAUUUUUUUUACUUACCAUGCAAGUUCUGGACAAUAGACCAUUAAUUAUUUAUUUUUUGAGAACUUAGACCAUAAUUUCUCAUAAUCUCUUUUGGAAAUUAUAAUUUAAAGAAUAACAUAUCAUAUCAAAAAUGUUUUAUCUGGGACACAAGAGAACGCAUCCCAUUUCACUACCACUAGACCACCAAUAAUAUGGUUAUGUUGAAACAACUACUUAUAGGAAUAUAUAUCUACCCAGUAGUGGUCCUAACUUUUAAAAAACCACAAGCUAGCCGGAAAAAGGUAGAUGAAUUACACUUCUAGAUUAAAAUUUUUUUACAAAAAUUUGGCCAAAAUUUAAUUUAUAUUAUUAAGGGCCAGAAGCCCAUUCUUCUUCCCCUCAAAAACAUGACAUGCAUAUAUCUAUCCAAUGGUGGAAACAGAAAAUUUUCUAACUGGGAUAAAAAAUAUAAAAAUGUAUAAACUAUAAAAAAUCUUACAAGUGUAUUUUGUAUACUAGAACUAACUGUAUCCUCUAUGUCCACAUUCAAACUUACAAGAGUAAAAGGUUUUAUUGAGAAUUUUUUUUUAUCUCAUUUUAAAAUAUUUAAAUCAUAUUAUAAUAUUUAUUUUUAUUAGACCCUGCAAUAAAUUACUUAAUCAAUAUCAUCAUUUACUAGAUAAAAUCUUUUUUUCAAAAAAGAAUCUGUAUUUAUUUGAUAAAAUUAGAAUAAUUAGUUCUUUUAAAUUAGAAAAUAUUCAACUUAUAUAAUUAAAAUACAAAUCUUAAAAUCUAGGAAUUGAAUUAUAAUUUUUGAAGUGUAUAAAAUAUAAAGUAUGUAAUAUACAAGAUUUAAGAGAAUACGAAAAUUAACUCAAAAUUUAAGAGACAAAGACAGAUUUUUUGAAGUUUUAUUCUGAACUUUAAAUAAAAUAAACUAAUUAAUUUUAAUUAACCAACAAAAGUUAGUGAUUAUUAUUAUAUUUAAAUUGGGUUUAAACUUAUUAUGAACCCGUUUAGUUAAUGGAACUUGGUUUCCGUGAACCCAUUUAUUCAUUUAGUUAGGUAAUUAAAUUUUAUCAUUUUGUUUUUAGUAUGUGUGAACUUUUGUAGGGUCAAAAAUAAUAUUUUCAUGGGGUCAAAAUAUUACUUAUCUAAAAGAAUAUAUAUAUAUAUAUAUUUCAAAAUGAAGUGGGGUCAACUGACCCCCUACUCCCUUCUUACAUCCGCUCCUGUAUCUACCUGAUGGCUUUUGCCUUACACCUUUGUGCUUCUUCUCCUUGUCUAUCUCUACAUGCACUGGGAAUGCGCAACCGGAGCAACCGGUAAUAUUGCAGAGAGGACAAGGACCAGCGUCAAAAGGUUGAUGAAGACUUUCGAAUGCAACCGCGUUCGUUGAUGAAUUGUCACCUCGGUCGUUAGAUAUCACUUGUCGUAGAGCAGACACCAUUAUCACAAUGCUCUUGAUCUCUUGUUAAACGAGAAGGUUUGACAUCGCAAGAGGGGAUAUUUUCUGGAUUCACCAUUUUCGUGGAGUCCAACUGUAAACAAUUUUUCGUUCACGGAAAAGGAUCCAAUGCGUUAAGGUAUGUAAACAAAGAACAGGCCUCUUUAUAUAGUACAAAGAAGGUGGAAUCUUUGUGGCCCUAUGACAAUCUUAUCAAGUUUUAAACACGGGACAUGAAUGAACUUGUGUGACAUCACUUCUUUAUAUAGUACAAAGAAGGUGGAAUCUUUGUGGCCCUGCGGGAGAGCCCAAGAUGGACUCUUUUUUCUGGUAUUCAAAUAAGGUCGAAAAUAUGACAUCAUAUUUACGUGGUCACAAAGUAAAGUGUAGUGGAGUGUUUUCGAAUCUAAAUUGUUUAACAAGCCAAAAUUCGCGUACCAGUAAACCAUCAUCUUGUGGUUGUAACAUCAUUUUUAGAUAUUUAUAUCUGCAGUAAAAGUGAUUUCAAUAAGAAACACACAUACUUAAUUUAUUCGACACACUUACUAAUUAGAUUAUGAAUGGAAAAAGUGGAUCAGAUGUAGCGGAUAUAGCGGAUUUGACGGAUCAAGCGAAACAAGAGUGGAUCUAACGGAUUUAGUGAUACAAAAGUGGAUAAAGCGGAUCUAACGGUCCAAAACAUUUGUUAUUUUAAAAUUUUGAAAAAGAAUAAAAGUGAAAGAUGGACUACCUAUAACACUCCAUUUAUGGAUAGUUAUAGACCGAUCAGUUCAUUUAUUUAAUAGUUUUGACUGCUUGUGGAUCAAAAUUAUCUACAAAUGGAUGACACAUUUAUUUUUAUUUUAUUGAAGAGUCAUUUUUGGGUUCACCCUAAGGGGUGAACCUCUAGAUUCACCAACCAAUAGGAUUUCAUUAUUUCAAAUUCGAUAUCUUUUAAAAAGGAAACAAAAUAUUCUCAAAUUAUAUUAUGUUUUUAAAAUAAAAAAGUAAAAAAAAGAUAAUAGUUACAGAAAAAAGAAUUAAAAAAAAAUAUAUUUUUAAUAUUCUCAACAAAACACUAA